GAUGAACGCUGGCGGCGUGCCUAAUACAUGCAAGUCGAGCGAACAGACGAGGAGCUUGCUCCUCUGACGUUAGCGGCGGACGGGUGAGUAACACGUGGAUAACCUACCUAUAAGACUGAGAUAACUUCGGGAAACCGGAGCUAAUACCGGAUAAUAUAUUGAACCGCAUGGUUCAAUAGUGAAAGACGGUUUUGCUGUCACUUAUAGAUGGAUCCGCGCCGCAUUAGCUAGUUGGUAAGGUAACGGCUUACCAAGGCAACGAUGCGUAGCCGACCUGAGAGGGUGAUCGGCCACACUGGAACUGAGACACGGUCCAGACUCCUACGGGAGGCAGCAGUAGGGAAUCUUCCGCAAUGGGCGAAAGCCUGACGGAGCAACGCCGCGUGAGUGAUGAAGGUCUUCGGAUCGUAAAACUCUGUUUUUAGGGAAGAACAAAUGUGUAAGUAACUAUGCACGUCUUGACGGUACCUAAUCAGAAAGCCACGGCUAACUACGUG
RNAcentral lists this ribosomal RNA (497 nucleotides) under uncultured bacterium. Its description in RNAcentral is "partial 16S ribosomal RNA". It matches the Rfam family "Bacterial small subunit ribosomal RNA", at positions 28 to 507 of the family's 1533-position model. The record is from RNAcentral.